AAAUUUUGAUUAUCUAUCUACAUGAACACUAGUCAAAUGAGUUCCAGCCCCAAAGGAAAUGUAAAAGGGUGUCAUAAUAAAUUCCAAAUAUUAAUCAAAUAAAAUACUGCCUCAAACACACUAAGGUUGGUAAUUGGGAAAAAUAACAAGGGCACAAAUAACUGGGCCCAGCACAAUGUCAUCAGAAUCAAUUUUAUACCCCAACGGGCGCCACUGGAAUAACCUUCCCCCUUCGGUCUGUAUUUUAACUUCCCCUUUAUGAACCGCAGCAAGCUGACUUUUGGGCUGCUUGGCCAUCACUGGCUGCCUGGUUUGGUUGGUUGAUCUUGAUUGUUUGAGGCUCAGCCCUGGAAUCAGUUUCUGCAAGCCUUUGCUUGAUAUCCCUUGCAAUUGAAAAGAAAACCUCCUCGACAUUCAAAUUUGUCUUUGCACUAGUUUCGAAGAACUUGAUACCAUACUCAUCUGCAAGAGCUUGACCCUUGGACGUAGGCACAGCCCUUUUACUUUCAUCCAU
RNAcentral lists this unclassified non-coding RNA (514 nucleotides) under Hevea brasiliensis (rubber tree). Lineage: Eukaryota; Viridiplantae; Streptophyta; Magnoliopsida; Malpighiales; Euphorbiaceae. The record is from RNAcentral.